GGUCUGAUGCCACGUCUCUGGUAGCUAUAUAUUGGACCUAAAUCAAGAGUGCUUGUCAUUUGUUUCGCAUUUUGAUAGGAAUCUGUGAAUCUUAUAUACUAUGAUUAUGCAGAGCCGAUUUUUGCGAUUACAUUU
This is a small nucleolar RNA of Trifolium pratense (red clover), 135 nucleotides long. RefSeq annotates it as small nucleolar RNA snoR2/U65. The transcript has a single exon. NCBI's taxonomy places the organism in Eukaryota, Viridiplantae, Streptophyta, Magnoliopsida, Fabales, Fabaceae. The record is from RefSeq and is a predicted model, not a curated record.